RNAcentral lists this transfer RNA (78 nucleotides) under Klebsiella aerogenes EA1509E. RNAcentral's name for it is "tRNA-Undet-???". It matches the Rfam family "tRNA". From Rfam's summary of the family: Transfer RNA (tRNA) molecules are approximately 80 nucleotides in length. Their secondary structure includes four short double-helical elements and three loops (D, anti-codon, and T loops). Further hydrogen bonds mediate the characteristic L-shaped molecular structure. tRNAs have two regions of fundamental functional importance: the anti-codon, which is responsible for specific mRNA codon recognition, and the 3' end, to which the tRNAs corresponding amino acid is attached (by aminoacyl-tRNA synthetases). tRNAs cope with the degeneracy of the genetic code in two manners: having more than one tRNA (with a specific anti-codon) for a particular amino acid; and 'wobble' base-pairing, i.e. permitting non-standard base-pairing at the 3rd anti-codon position. Lineage: Bacteria; Pseudomonadati; Pseudomonadota; Gammaproteobacteria; Enterobacterales; Enterobacteriaceae. The record is from RNAcentral.
CGGGAAAUAGCUCCGUUGGUAGAGCACGACCCUUGCCAAGGUCGGGGUCGCGAGUUCGAGUCUCGUUUUCCCGCUCCA